This 550-nucleotide long non-coding RNA is filed under the name Zonotrichia albicollis (white-throated sparrow). RNAcentral's name for it is "lncRNA (ENSZALG00000008437.1)". The record is from RNAcentral. Lineage: Eukaryota; Metazoa; Chordata; Aves; Passeriformes; Passerellidae.
GUAAUGCACUCCACUUUUUUUUUUUUUUCCUAUUAGCACAGUGACUGAGAAAUUGUUGGAAGCUAAUAUAAUGUGUCACAUCCCUCUCAUCUAGCACUGACAGCGUGAGCUUGUGGCAGAUGGAUUACAGCACAUGCCUGUUGUGAAUGUUCCUAAUGUUCUCAGUUCUCCCAGCUGAGACAUGAGCGAAGCAGCCUUUGGAAAUCAUCUUGGAAGAGACAUUCAGCUUUCCGUUUUCUACACUUCAGGCAAGCACGUCCUUGCUGGCAGGAAGCCCAUCUGGUUCUGUUGUGUAGGAGGUGGCUGCAGGAGGUCAGAAUGCGAGGAGCCCAGGCUGGUGCAGAAAUGUCUUCUGAUCCCCAGGAAGCCGCGGGGCAGCGCAGCCCGGCUCAGCAGAGCUCUCCCAGCCUCUCAUGCAGACAAGUCAAAGCAGCUCUGGGCAGCCGCUGAGCAGUGGUUGGAAAGAAGUACAGCUGAAUCUUCCUUAUUCCUCAUGGAUCAGAAAAAGAGAUGUUCAUUCAGAGUACGUGCAGGAGAAAGGCUCUGCUGA